UGUAGCUCGGUGGUAGAGCGCUUGCCUUGCAGGUAUGAGGCUCUGGGUUCAAUUCUCAGCA
Molecule: transfer RNA, 61 nt
Filed under: Ictidomys tridecemlineatus (thirteen-lined ground squirrel)
Lineage: Eukaryota; Metazoa; Chordata; Mammalia; Rodentia; Sciuridae
Description: Spermophilus tridecemlineatus (thirteen-lined ground squirrel) tRNA
Rfam family: tRNA
About the family: Transfer RNA (tRNA) molecules are approximately 80 nucleotides in length.
Source: Rfam by way of RNAcentral